RNAcentral lists this ribosomal RNA (496 nucleotides) under uncultured bacterium. Its description in RNAcentral is "partial 16S ribosomal RNA". It matches the Rfam family "Bacterial small subunit ribosomal RNA", at positions 29 to 507 of the family's 1533-position model. The record is from RNAcentral.
ACGAACGCUGGCGGCGUGCCUAAUACAUGCAAGUUGAGCGCUGAAGGUUGGUACUUGUACCCACUGGAUGAGCAGCGAACGGGUGAGUAACGCGUGGGGAAUCUGCCUUUGAGCGGGGGACAACAUUUGGAAACGAAUGCUAAUACCGCAUAAAAACUUUAAACACAAGUUUUAAGUUUGAAAGAUGCAAUUGCAUCACUCAAAGAUGAUCCCGCGUUGUAUUAGCUAGUUGGUGAGGUAAAGGCUCACCAAGGCGAUGAUACAUAGCCGACCUGAGAGGGCGAUCGGCCACAUUGGGACUGAGACACGGCCCAAACUCCUACGGGAGGCAGCAGUAGGGAAUCUUCGGCAAUGGACGAAAGUCUGACCGAGCAACGCCGCGUGAGUGAAGAAGGGUUUCGGAUCGUAAAACUCUGUUGGUAGAGAAGAACGUUGGUGAGAGUGGAAAGCUCAUCAAGUGACGGUAACUACCCAGAAAGGGACGGCUAACUACGUG